GCCUCCUGGGCUGCUGCCCCAACGCGUUCCAGUCGCGCAACGACCGCGUGGUAGGAUAUCCGGCUCCGUGGCUUUUGCUUCGGUGUUUCCUAGGCAUCGUCGUGCAGGGAGUGUCGAGCCCGCCCAAAAUGGUCGUUUCCCCUACAGUUUCCUGUACCUUUUGAGAUGUCCGUCAUUCUGUCUGGUCCUGCCAUUGAUCCAUGCCAUUUGCUACUGAGAUGUCUUCAUUCCUGUCUGCCUAGUCCCAUCAGGACAAAAGAUGAAUCAUAAAAAAA
Molecule: long non-coding RNA, 275 nt
Organism: Lynx canadensis (Canada lynx)
Lineage: Eukaryota; Metazoa; Chordata; Mammalia; Carnivora; Felidae
Exons: 3
Source: RefSeq, a predicted model, not a curated record